GACGAACGCUGGCGGCGUGCUUAACACAUGCAAGUCGAGCGGUAAGGCCCUUUCGGGGGUACACGAGCGGCGAACGGGUGAGUAACACGUGGGUGACCUGCCCUCAGCUCUGGGAUAAGCCUGGGAAACCGGGUCUAAUACUGGAUAUGACUCCAUGACGCAUGUUGUGGGGUGGAAAGCCUUGUGCGGCUGAGGAUGGGCCCGCGGCCUAUCAGCUUGUUGGUGGGGUGAUGGCCUACCAAGGCGACGACGGGUAGCCGGCCUGAGAGGGCGACCGGCCACACUGGGACUGAGACACGGCCCAGACUCCUACGGGAGGCAGCAGUGGGGAAUCUUGCGCAAUGGGUGAAAGCCUGACGCAGCGACGCCGCGUGAGGGAUGACGGCCU
RNAcentral lists this ribosomal RNA (388 nucleotides) under uncultured bacterium. RNAcentral describes it as "bacterial SSU rRNA". It matches the Rfam family "Bacterial small subunit ribosomal RNA", at positions 28 to 417 of the family's 1533-position model. The record is from RNAcentral.